UCGCGAAGUGUCGCGCGGCGCGGCCGGAGCUGGGCUGGGGCCCGGGCCGAGCCCGGCGGGGCUGAGGCGGCGGCCGUGGGGACGGGCAUGGGCGGCGGGCGCUGACCCCGCCCCGCCAUGGACGAGGACGGCAUGAAGGAGGACGGCAUGAAGGAGGAGGAGGAGGACGGCGGCGAGGCCAUGAUGGACGACCAGAACCACAACAACUGGGGCGCGGGCGUCUACGGGCGGUACCUGCUGGAGGAGCGGCUGCUGCCGCCGGCGGCGGGGCCGCCGCGCCCCGCGGGGCCCGAGCACAACGGCGGGGGGCUGCGGGGCUGCGAGCCGGCGGGCACGGCCGGCAGGGCGGGCGCGGCCGGGGCCAUCGCCGCCAUCAACAUCAGCGCCUCCACGUCCAAGUUCCUGAUGAAUGUUAUAACAAUUGAAGACUAUAAGAGCACAUAUUGGCCAAAGUUGGACAGUGCCAUAGAUCAGCUUUUAACUCAGAGUCCUGGUGACUACAUCCCUAUUUCCUAUGAACAAAUAUACAGCUGUGUGUAUAAGUGUGUAUGCCAGCAGCAUUCGGAGCAGAUGUAUAGUGACCUAAUAAAAAAGAUAACUAACCACUUAGAGAGAGUCUCAAAGGAGCUGCAGGCCAGCCCUCCAGAUCUCUAUAUUGAAAGAUUUAACAUAGCUCUUGGACAGUAUAUGGGAGCAUUGCAGAGCAUUGUGCCUCUUUUCAUAUAUAUGAAUAAAUUUUACAUAGAAACCAAGCUUAACAGAGACUUAAAAGAUGACCUUAUAAAGCUGUUUACGGAACACGUUGCAGAAAAGCACAUUUACAACCUAAUGCCUUUACUUUUGGAAGCUCAGUCAACACCGUUUCAAAUAACUCCUUCAACCAUGGCAAAUAUUGUGAAAGGCCUGUAUACACUACGACCAGAAUGGGUACAGAUGGCACCAGCUUUAUUUUCUAAAUUCAUCCCAAAUGUUCUCCCCCCUGCUGUGGAAUCUGAGCUUCAGGAAUAUGCUGCUCAAGACCAGAAACUUCAAAGAGAGCUUAUUCAGAAUGGAUUUACAAGAGGUGACCAGUCACGCAAGAGACCUGGAGAAGAGCUUUACAUGUAGGAGAAGAGACACAGAAAGGAGUUGGUUGCUCUACUCCAGGCAACCCUAAUUUGGGUGUAGUCGGUCAGAGGUCUCAUCUCAUCAGUCUUCUGCUCACCUUCUGUGCUGACUAAGCAUUUGGCCAGGAAAGACUAGUCCUGUACAGUCUAGGUGGCUCAUCAGCUUGUGCAAGCUCCAGGGGAUACAGAUAGUGAAUAUACUGGAUCAGCUUCUAUUCCCAGCCAGAACAGACACUGGAGGAGCACAGAUGGUAUCUGGAGCCUCCUUUGGCAACUGCUGAUACUCAAGCUCUGACAUGAACUUUGCCUCAGAGGAGAGUUUUGGACUUUCUUCUUUGUACAACGUCAGUUGCUGCUACAGUUGGGGUGACUUUGAAAGACAUGAUUCCUUGGUCUGGCCUAUCAACAAGUUCAUGUUCUGUGACUUCUGUGAGGAAUGCACCUUGAAAAACAAUCCUUUCAAAGUGGAAGUGGGCAGCCGAAAUCAGCAGCUUCCAAAAGCAUUAGAAUGGAAGAAUCCUUUUUGCACUCUUUUCUUAAUAUUAAGGACAUUCUUAAAACUAGUUAACACGUCAGUGUAUUAGUUUUUGAACUUCCAAGUUAUUUUCUGGAGCUUCUACUUAAUAAUAAGAAUAAAGUUACGUUAUUUUGCAGUAUUUGUUUGUUAGUUUAAAAAUUGUCACCUUUUAAGAGUUGGUCCCUUUGUCACCGAAAAUUGGGAAAUAAACUCUCCAACCAAUUUGUAGGUUAGAAAGCCAACAUCCCUGUAUUACCAGUGCUGGGUGCAUGGGGAUUGCUCCACAAAGCAUGCAUACCAGCAACCUAACAGACCAGCUUAUGUUCAUGGAACUAAUGCAUAUUCAUCACAUUUCUAUUACAUAUUCAUUACAUUUCCUGAAUACAUCCAUAUAUGCUAAUUAUUUCCGUGGACUUAUUUGGAUGUGGUUCCAGAUCUUCUAAUGAAUCUUUUCUCCUUGAGAAUAUCUCAAAUAUGUGGUCAGGUUAUAAUGUGCUUCUCUUAUAAUUUUUUGCUCUGACACACAAUCCUUGUUCUCAAAAGUUAAGACAUCUGCUAGUUCAUAUUGAUCACUGAUACAGGUAAAUAAGGAAGCAAUAGCUGGCACAAGACUAUUAAUCAUAGAUGUAGGGAUCAAACACUGUUUUACUGAGGUUAAAAGAAUUUUCCAACAUCUUUCCCCACUGCUGCAUAGACUCCUUUUAUAAAAAAAAUAUAACUUGUUCAGUAACACCAUGUAAAUGUAUCUUCUGUCAGGGAGUUUUCGAUUCCAGAUUUUUGGUUUAUCUCUUGUUUUGUUACUUGGUAUUUUGAAGUCUGUUUUCCUAUGUGUUUGUACUCUGUGCCUUCAGCUUGAGCACUUUGCGACUUUAUAGACCAUAUUUUGUUACUGCAAAAUGUGUUCUUGAGGAAAAACUUGAUGUGAACGAACAUGCUGCAAAGUUGCACUUUUCUCUUGCAUUAAAUAGGAAGUGAAUUUAAGGAGGAAGGAAGAAAAGUUGAACCUAUCACCAUCACUAAUAGUGACUUGGAAGUUUGUCCCCUUUUAUGUUUCAUCUGUAUUAGUGUUUAAUGCAGGGACCAACUCUUGUAGAACCCCCUUCACUGACUUUUCAUUGGCUUCAAGAGUUGGACUGGUGGGUCCCUUCCAGCUCAGAAUAUUCUGUGCUUCCACAGUUGCAAUAGGUGGAGAUGGGAAUUCCAGACUGAAUGAAAUACUAAGAUAUGGUUUGUGCUGUGCUUUGUAGAAACACUGUGGGCAAAAUUCUCCAGUCUGGGAGGUCUGCAAAGGGCAUCUCCCUGAGCACCAGAUUUGCACUGGGUUGAUCAGCAAACUAUGGUACCUGUCCAAGGUCACUGUGUGGCUCCUGUGCCACCUCCCCUGUGUGGGGAGGAGCUGUGCUGGGGCUGGGGCAGUGGGUGCAGCCAGAAUCAGGGAUUUGAGGAGUGCUGUAACGUGUGCAUGUGUACCCAUCGGCCUCCUGCCUCCAGGCUUGUGGGAACUCGGCUGGACAUCCAGCUGGACACAAUUCCAGGAGAUCAGGCCUAUGGUCUGUGUCCUAAUCAUUGUGAUGUAGGUUUUAAUCAGUAGUGUGGCUAAUGCAGCUCUCUCAUUAGGGGAUCAACAUACUUGAAAAGCAGCUUGAUUACAGGGUUUGGGUUUUUUUCAUUACUAUGGAUUUAUUUUUUUAUCACCUUUAGUUAUGAAGAGAAACGAGUUGGUAAUACAAGAUCUUUCUGAAGCGAAAUAAAAGUUUGUUCUGUUUUGUCUGGCACAACUCUUAUGCCUGUUUAAAGAAAAACAAAAUACCAACACAGCUCCUUUUAUGCUUGCAUGGGUUCAUUACAAAAUGCAGGGAAAAAAAUAGGUGCGGCAGGGACAAAGUUUCAUUUUCUUUUUAUUUUUUUUUUUGUAUCCAGGCUUCCUGUAAGUGAAUUUAAUUCCAUCAGUGUCACAUCAUCCACUUUGGCAAUGCUGUUAAUUUUGAGGGUGGGGGGGAAAGAGGAACGAAGAUGACACUGCUGGGAUUGACAGACUCAAAUCUGGUUUACAUAUAUAUUUCUUGGCAUAUUUGCAAAGCCUGUUUGAUUUUGAGGAAGUUUUUGUUUCAAAAUUAAAAGCAAAUGCUUUUAGUGUUUUUAUUUCUGUGUAGCAGAAUGCCAGCAGUCUGAUCUCAUCCCCAGGAGUGGAAAACCAAACCACUCUGAGUAGGGAUUUUCAGGUGUUGAUAGUGUUUGCUUCAACUUUGCUACCAGCUACUGAAGUUGGAGAAGAGUUAGAUAAAAUUUUGCUGAAUUAUGCUGUGGUGAAGUUAAUGAAGGCUAAUGGGGAACAAAAAUGAUUUGUCAGCUUCCAGGUCUUUUUAAGUUUUGGCUUUAAACAAAAAUGAAACCUCUGAUAGUGUCCUUAGCUUUAAAAAUCACUGUCUGCUGAAAUGGCAAUAUUCUUGAGGUAAGAAUAGAUGCAUUAACCUAAUUUGGUUAAAGUUUGUUUACAACUUGGUUGCCAUCCUAGCUCACAUAAUACAGUGACCAAGCUCUGUCAUCUUUGUCAGGUGAUCACACUUUUUCUGUUCCUAAAAUGGUUUUACUGGUUCAGGUUUGUAAAUAACAUGUAGUGCUUUUGCUUCGUGUUUGAAGCAAGGGUUUAACAAUCAUUUUACAGCAUCUUAUUUCUGGGACAAACUUCUAGAACAAUCAUUCCAUCCGAAGGUAAAGCAUUCCUAUCAGCACUCUGUGUGCACUGAGUAGUGCUUGGAUGCUCCUCAGUCCUGUAGCAUUCUCACCACUGGCCACCUACCUGAGAAAUCUGUUUGUUAAGCUCUGUGUUAUGUUGUAAAUUUGGCAUUACAAUUCCUGUAUGGUUUGGCAUUAUCAACAUAAUGCUGAAAUAUUGUUUAUCUGUUGAAGACAUGAUCAUUGUGACUGAGCAUGGAACAGAAUACAGCAUACUAUACUAAAUUAUUUUGGUUCUCUGUAAACUUGCAUUUUACUUACAGGUAAACUAACUCAGCCAACUUGAGCAUUGGUACUGUAAAGCCACAAUUACCAACAGCAUGAUCCUAACUGCAGUAUUUAAUUUAACCAAAUAACUUGUGGUGAAUCCAUUGCAUCUGUAGCUUACUCUGUUAAGAUUAAGCAGUAAAGUUGGUUAUACAAUGGGUGUCCUCUCUAUGUUGCACUGGUUCUACAACCAAACUUGCUGCAUUAAAAUAUUUUUAGAUUAA
Pseudopipra pipra is the source of this 4850-nucleotide RNA transcript. It is a transcript of the gene named CDK2 associated cullin domain 1, with no coding region annotated. The record is from RefSeq and is a predicted model, not a curated record. The transcript is spliced from 10 exons. NCBI's taxonomy places the organism in Eukaryota, Metazoa, Chordata, Aves, Passeriformes, Pipridae.